GACGAACGCUGGCGGCGUGCUUAACACAUGCAAGUCGAACGGAAAGGCCCUGCUUUUGUGGGGUGCUCGAGUGGCGAACGGGUGAGUAACACGUGAGUAACCUGCCCUUGACUUUGGGAUAACUUCAGGAAACUGGGGCUAAUACCGGAUAGGAGCUCCUGCUGCAUGGUGGGGGUUGGAACGUUUCGGCGGUUGGGGAUGGACUCGCGGCUUAUCAGCUUGUUGGUGGGGUAGUGGCUUACCAAGGCUUUGACGGGUAGCCGGCCUGAGAGGGUGACCGGCCACAUGGGGACUAAGAGACGGCCCAGACUCGUACGGGAGGCAACAGUGGGGAAUAUUGCACAAUGGGCGGAAGCCUGAUGCAGCAACGCCGCGGGCGGGAUGACGGCUUUCGGGUUGUAAACCGCUUUCGCCUGUGACGAAGCGUGAGUGACGGUAAUGGGUAAAGAAGCACCGGCUAACUACGUG
RNAcentral lists this ribosomal RNA (468 nucleotides) under uncultured bacterium. RNAcentral's name for it is "partial 16S ribosomal RNA". It matches the Rfam family "Bacterial small subunit ribosomal RNA", at positions 28 to 507 of the family's 1533-position model. The record is from RNAcentral.